Molecule: ribosomal RNA, 118 nt
Filed under: Periophthalmus magnuspinnatus
Lineage: Eukaryota; Metazoa; Chordata; Actinopteri; Gobiiformes; Gobiidae
Source: RNAcentral
GAUUGUGGCCAAAUCUCAUUGUCAAAGCCUGAUCUCAUCACAUCUCAGAACCUGAGCAGGGCCGGGCCUGGUUAGUGGUUGGAUGGGAGACUGCUGGGAAUAUCAGGUGCUACAAUGG